GAUUAUCCUGACUUAUGCAGGUGGGCUCAGUGUAAACACAUAGGUACUCAGAAGUGACUAUGGUGAGAGUGAUGUGAGAACUUUACCUGCUGUUGCCACCUGAAGAUAAUGAAAGGGGCCAUGAGUCAAGGAAUAUGGGAGGCCUCUAGAAGCUAGAAGAGAAAAAAAAAAAACAAAACAAAAACAUAUUCUCUCCUAGAGCCUCCAAAGAGCAAAGUGCCAAUGAGACCCAUCCUGGACUUCUAACCAAAAGAAUUGUAAGAUAAUAAGUUUGUGUUGUUUUUAAGCCAGUAAAGACCCUGCUGAUGAAACAGGUUGCAGGAAAGAAGCCAGCCAAAACCCACUGAAACCAAAAUAGUCACAACAGUGACCUCUGGUCAUCCUCCCUGCUACAUUCCCACCAGUGCUGUGACAGUUUACCAAUGCCGUGACAUCAGGAAGUUACCCUAUAUGGUCUAAAAGGGGGAAGCAUGAAUAAUCCAUCCUUUGUUUAGCAUAUAAACAGGAUAUAACCGUAAAAAUAGGCAACAAGCAGCCCUCACGGCUACUCUAUCUAUAGAGAAGCCAUUCUUUUAUUCCUUUAUUUUCCAAAUAAACUUGCUUUCACUUUAUGCUAUGGACUCCCCUUGAAUUCUUUCUUGCUUGAGAUUCAAGAAUCCUCUUUUGGGGUCUGGAUAAGAAGCCUUUCCUGUAACAGCUUUCUGGUGAUUAUGAAGAGACCGUAGUGAGGAAACCCCGGAACCAAAGGAUAACUUUGGGUAAGUGUUGGGGUCGUGUAACAUCUUCCUGGCAAACCCUGAAGGGAUGAUACUAAGGAGACCUCCCCCCAACCCAAGGAAAUAGACUGCAGCACUGAUUGGACAACUUUGGAUAAGUGGUGGAGUACCUACUCAGGUAAAGAAUGGGAUUGGGAUAGAGGCC
RNAcentral lists this long non-coding RNA (921 nucleotides) under Homo sapiens (human). Its description in RNAcentral is "HSALNT0148280". The record is from RNAcentral. Lineage: Eukaryota; Metazoa; Chordata; Mammalia; Primates; Hominidae.